AGAGCGAACGCUGGCGGCAUGCUUAACACAUGCAAGUCGCACGGGCACUUCGGUGUCAGUGGCGGACGGGUGAGUAACGCGUAGGUAUCUAUCCUUGGGUGGGGGACAACGGUUGGAAACGACUGCUAAUACCGCAUAAUAACUGAGGUUUAAAGGCGCAAGUCGCCUGAGGAGGAGCCUGCGUACGAUUAGCUAGUUGGUGGGGUAAAGGCCUACCAAGGCGACGAUCGUUAGCUGGUCUGAGAGGAUGAUCAGCCACAUUGGGACUGAGACACGGCCCAAACUCCUACGGGAGGCAGCAGUGGGAAUAUUGGACAAUGGGCGAAAGCCUGAUCCAGCAAUGCCGCGUGUGUGAAGAAGGUCUUCGGAUUGUAAAGCACUUUCGACAGGGACGAUGAUGACGGUACCUGUAGAAGAAGCCCCGGAUAACUUCGUGCCAGCAGCCGC
RNAcentral lists this ribosomal RNA (447 nucleotides) under uncultured bacterium. RNAcentral's name for it is "SSU rRNA". It matches the Rfam family "Bacterial small subunit ribosomal RNA", at positions 26 to 518 of the family's 1533-position model. The record is from RNAcentral.